GUGAGGAAUAUUGCGCAAUGGAGGCAACUCUGACGCAGCCAUGCCGCGUGCAGGAAGAAGGCGCUACGCGUUGUAAACUGCUUUUAACCGGGAAGAAACCCCAGGACGUGUCCUGGGUUGACGGUACCGGAGGAAUAAGCACCGGCUAACUUCGUGCCAGCAGCCGCGGUAAUACGAAGGGUGCAAGCGUUAUCCGGAUGCAUUGGGUUUAAAGGGUGCGUAGGCGGAGCGUUAAGUCAGUGGUGAAAUCCUGCAGCGUAACUGUAGGCUUGCCAUUGAUACUGGCGCUCUUGAGUGCGCUUGAAGUGGGCGGAAUGUGCCGUGUAGCGGUGAAAUGCUUAGAUAUGGCACAGAACACCAAUUGCGAAGGCAGCUCACUAAGGCGAUACUGACGCUGAGGCACGAAAGCGUGGGGAUCGAACAGGAUUAGAAACCCCGGUAGUCC
This 445-nucleotide ribosomal RNA is filed under the name uncultured bacterium. Its description in RNAcentral is "partial 16S ribosomal RNA". It matches the Rfam family "Bacterial small subunit ribosomal RNA", at positions 354 to 796 of the family's 1533-position model. The record is from RNAcentral.